RNAcentral lists this long non-coding RNA (20340 nucleotides) under Panax ginseng (ginseng). Its description in RNAcentral is "long non-coding RNA (PGIN_LNC003490)". Lineage: Eukaryota; Viridiplantae; Streptophyta; Magnoliopsida; Apiales; Araliaceae. The record is from RNAcentral.
ACAAUAUCCAAACUCAAAUGGAGUCCUCAUUACUAUUAUUAUCACAUUAUUUCAUAGAAUAGUGAGGACUACUAUGACACUAUAUCGGACCAUCAUUCCGUUCCCCAACUAGUCCCGGCUAUGUUCUCAUUUCCUGAAGAGAACAAUGAAAGGAAAAGGGUAAGCUCAACUAGCCCAGUAAGAAAUAUUAUGACUAAGAUAAUGCAGAAUAAAUUAUCGUUAGCCUUCAACGGUGUUAAACUGAUAAAAUACAAUAAACAUCAAGUUUAAUUGCAGCAAAACAAGCAAUCCAUUAGAAGAGUCAAGUAGAGCAUGAUAUCUACUAUCUUCUAUGAUUUAAAAAGUUUAUCAUCAAUUUUAUCGCUGAGACUCAGCUUAAUAAAUAAUCCACAUCACUGAAUUAUCCAUGCACUACGGGCCAAGGAUAUUCAUUAGUAUCACGACCACGAAUUAUCCAUGCACUACGGGCCAAGGAUAUUCGUGUUUUCACCAAUGGUCAUGAUCAUGUCAACCACUGUCUAUCAAUGCACUACGGGCCAAUGAAGACUUUUACCACAUCAUUUGUAACAUUACGGUCAUGAUUAUACCAAAUUAUCCCUGGUCAUAAUCAUACCAAUCAACACUCCAUUUAUGCACGUAAGUCAUAGAUGACUUUCACCACAAUAUAAACAUGAGGAUGAUGACAAUGAUAUAAGAAUUCCAUUAAAAGAAAACAAAGGAUAAAUUUUUAAAUAUUUAAUAUUUAAUUUAUCUAGAAUUCAAUAAUGUCCAAAUUGUCAACAUGAUGCUGCUUUGUGGAGUAAAAUUCAAGAAUAAUAUUGUUUCAAAAUGAUUUGGAUAGAAAUCAAUUUUUGUCAUGAAUAGUUCCCCGGGUGAAUAGUACCUGAGUGAAUAGUAUCACGUGAAUAGUACUUCGUCAAUAGUACCCGUGAAUAGUACCCAUGAAUAGUACUUUGUGAAUUAGUACCCCAUGACUAGUAUUCCGGCAUAACAAGAUCAAUAAUUAUCAAGAAUGCUCAUAAUAAUAUUUUCAUGAAAAGAUAUUGGAUGAAGUGCAAAUAUCAAGGAUAUUCUACUAAUUUCACGGAGUAUAGAAGCAAUAAUUUAACAGAAUGAGUGUAGAAUUAGGAAUACGAAACUAAAUAAUACUACUCACAUACUAUAGAAUAUGGAAGAAAAUAUUAUUUCUUACGAAUAUGAUAAGUGGAUUUUAUAUAUACUUAUCCGGUAUCUAUUACUUGAAUUAGUUGCUUAAACUCAUGUUUCUUAGUUACUUUUCAUGCAUUUUGUGUUCAUGUUGUAGGUUAUAUGUUUGGGAACGGUGUGAGCGACUAUUGGUAAGGAAAAGCAAGGAAAUCGCAAAGAAUUGGUAGGAAACACAAAGAAAAGCAACCGGAUAUCGUUUGUGCUUUCAUGUUAAUUUCAUGUUCUUGGCUUGGAACUUGGCUUACAUUGUAGAGCAUCUUCGUAGCUUUUCGAAACAUCUUGAAUCAUUCCAAUCGGAGUUUGGAUGCAAGAGUUAUGACAUUUGUAUCAACGGACGUUGAAUUUCGCUGUUUUGGGUGGUCAUUUGCAUAGCAGUCACUUCCAGUCCAAUUUCGACCUUCAUCCGUUCGUUAUUUCUCAAAACUCAAAGAAUGAAAGUUGUAGAGCUCGUCGAUAUGUUCGAUUUGAUUGGUGGCAGGCCCCGUAACUCUUUCCAGAUCAAAAGUUAUGGCCAUUCUACCAGAGGACACUGCAGUAGAAAAAUAAUUAGCAGCUUCUUCUAUCUUUGUCGUUUAAUGUGUAUUCAAUUGUGGAUUCUUAGUUUUAAUUCAAUAAUCAUGAACUAAUUCUUUGUUUGAGGUUACUAUGGAUCUUAUUUUGUAGUUUACUUUGAUAUGCUUCUUUGUUAGUGUUAUUAGCUAUAUUUGGAUUGUCUAUUAUGAUUUGGACUUAAUUGCUUAAUUGCCUAGCUAACAAUUACCGUGAUAAUCUAUAUGAACUCGAAAGAUGAAGUAUAGAUUUAGAUCUGAUUAUGAUAGCAUGUGUUCAUGAUUUUGUGAAUAACUUAAUCUUGAUGAAUGUUAAGGUAGAGAUAUGCUUAACAUCGCAUGUAAUCGGAUAGAGAACUUAUUCUUAAACCUUCUUCAAUUGUAAUUCACAUAGAGAUAUAGUGGGUUAGUUGAUUAAGGUGUUUAACGGAUUUCUAUCUUAAUUGUGGAUUGACGUUAAUACGGUAUUAGUGCAUCGAGAGGUGGUUAAUACUACAUUCGUGUUCUUGAUUAACAAUCCAGUAUAGAUAACUUGGCUUAACAGGAAGUGUGUUAACUUAAAUAAAACAAUAAGUGAAAUUGUAAUCUCAAGUCUUCAAUAUCUUGUUUCAUUCUAGGGAUAGUUAGUAAUAGUUUAUUUAACUAUUUUAAAUUAAAUUAUUAAAUCAUUCGUUUAAAUAAGAUUAAAUUGGUUAUAUGUUAGUACUUGGUAAUUCUUGUUAACUAAUUCUCUGUGGGAACGAUACUCAACUUAUCACUUUAUUACUUGUUGACCACAUAUACUUGCGUGUUGUGCGUAACUAGAUUUUACCCAACAAGUUGUUGGCGCCGCUGCUGGGGAAUUAGUUUAAUAUUUUUUUACCAAUAUUAGCUUCAAUCAAAUUAGUCUUAAUUUAAAUAUUUUUAGUUUUAUUUUUAAUUCUCUUCCUAUAUUUCUCUCUUUUCAGGUACCAUGAAUGACUUUACGUAUCAAUAACCAUACACAAACAUGACUCAACCAAGUGAAACAGGGAAUGAUGGACUUAAUACAUCUUCUAUAGAGCCAAUACAAAGUGAGGCAACUUCGAAGACGUUGGAGGUUAGCGCAGCCCAACGGAGUCGAAGGAUGGCAAGAAUGACUCAGCCAAGGGGGGCGGAGAUUGACAGACUCACGACACUUUCCGCAAUGUCAGCACAGAUGGAGAACUUUUGAGGAGGUUGGACGUUAUUGCAGCCCAACAGAGUCGAAGGAUGGCAGUUAUGUGUGACUAUUGUGCUGGCAAUCACCCGAGUAAUCAAUGCACCAUCAAUCUUGGGCCAGUACAGUAUGGUGGUAACUACCUCAAUCAGUAUGCAUAUGAUAAUUAUGAUCAAGUUUGGGGGUAUCACCCGGAUUUUUCAUGGAGCCAUACUCAUCAAGAUCAAUUUUAUGCUCAAAGUCCAACAUACACGACAGAAUUCUCAUAUCCACCUCCAAGGCGACAAGAAGUCAGUUCAGAGUUUAAAGAAUUCAUGUUAAGGAGUAUAGCAGAAACAGAAGAGCUGAUAAGGAGUCAGGAGCUGUCAAUCCAAAAUUUUAAUAAAUGGAUGGAACAACGUUUCACAACCUCAACCAAUGGUCUUCAAUACAUGGCUUCCGAGACUGAAACAAAAAAUUCAAGGCUGGGGGAAUUAUUGUCCAAGUUCAUAGUAGAUGAGGAGAAGAUGAGUAAUCAAGCGCGGGAAAGUUAAAAUCUUGCGAAUCAAAUAGAGCAAAUGACCAAAGACGUAAGCAACCUUCCUCCAAACACUUGGCUUUAUGACAUGGAUGACGAAAUUGAUGGAGAACUUGAACCAAAUCUGCAACUGGAUGAGCCAUAAGAUAUAAGAAGUGUGGAGACAAUUGGGGAUAAUGAAAUAGAGGUCCACGAAGAUCUAAAUGGGUCUCCACCAAAGAUCAAAGAGUCGGUCAGAUUUGUAAAAUCAUACCCACUUGGUAGUCAUGUCGUCGACGAAGCUCUUGUUGACAUAAGAGUGAGUACAAUUUUCAAUCCAUGGUGGGAAGAGAAAGAGAAGAUAGACGAAGAGCCCAUUGUGUGUGACAAGCUUCCAGGCCCCAAAGUGAUCACAUACACAAUGGAGAAAACACCUAGUUGUGGGACGUUCUUGAUUGAGAUCAUACCAAAUCAGAGCAUGCUAGGUGACUUUGAUGCAUUGGCCAUCGUAAAUGGGAACCUACCAAAAGUUAUAUUAUUUCCAAUGGAUGGAGGGUUCCUCAACUUUCGAAAAGGAAUUGGAUAGCGUUGACCAGACAAAGUCAGGCUGAAAGACUAUAAGCCAAGCACUGACUGGGAGGCAACCCAGGAAUUUUUCUAUUUAUAUGCUUUACUAGUUUAUUUAGUAGAUAGGAAUUUUGCUUAUUAAGCUCUCUUAUAAUCUAAUCCAUGUUGUCUCUCUUCAUUGCAGGUAUUGGAGGUUCAAUGGAUAAGAAAAUGAUCGUCGCCGCCAUCGCUGCCAUCACCUCACGCUUAGCUGAUUACAGGGAAGUUCGCUUCUACUUAUCGCUAUAUUCUUACAAUGAGGACAUUGUAAUUGCUAAGUUUGGGGGAGUUUAGUUUAGAUCUUCAUUGCAUGUUUAGUUUCAUGUUUAUGUUAUGUUAUUUUGCAUUUGUUGUUAAUUUAGUUUAGGUUCAUUUUUAUUAUAAAAAAAAAAAUCAAAAAAUUCAAAAAUUCAAAAAUAAUAGUUAGUUAUUAUGUUCAUCUUGCAUGAUUCCAACUGUUAGAUAUUUACAAUUUGUUUUGGCCAAUGAUGAGAUUGGAAUUGGGUAGAAAAGUUUAGUACUGACUAUUAGAGCUUUGAUAUGAUUUCUUGUUAGGAAUUGAAUCUUUUCCUGUUUGAAACUGGUAUAAUCAAGGUUAGCACAAUAAAAACAACUUGUUGAUUGAUUGAGUUUAAAUUGAUACAUAAUGGGACUCUAAAGGAUAAUGCUAGUUUAAAUGAAAGAAUGACAAGAAUAAGUAGUGAUGGUUAAAGUUAGACAAGAACCUAAGUUUGGGGGAAUAUUUGGGGUACAUAAGCUAUAUAUAAAAAAUAAAAAAUAAAAAUAAAAAGAAAAAAAAUAUGAAUAAACAUCGUGGCGUGCUUAUCUAGUUUUGUGGCCUUUGUUACUUGAGUAAGUAAGCCCGAGAGGAUUGUCUUUACACCUAGCGCCCUAAGGUCUUAAUGGUCUGGGAAUCGUUGGUCGAAAGCUCGUUAAGGUAGCAUUGAAAAGCCUAAGGGAAUAAGACAUUGCAUAGCUAUGUGUAUAUAAACCAAAAAGAAAAAAAAAAUAAUAAAACGAAAAAAGAGCAAAAAGCCCCCGUAAUGAAAAAUAAAGCAUAAAUAUCUCAUGUUGACCCUCGAUAUUGGUAAUUGUUUGAUUUUAGUUGGAUCUAGCUUGUUUUUGAAUUUCUUGAGUUUACAUUGUAUGAUGCCUUCAAAGAGACUUGUUAUGUGUUAAAUUUAAUUUUAUAUCAGUUAAAAUUGUUGUGGAGCACACAUGCACUAUACCAGUAAUAACAGUUUAAGACUUGAUGAUGGAUUAGGAAGUUAUUGAUGAGUUUUGAUAAGAUGUAUUAUCAUGUUUACUUGAUUUCUCUAAGGCCGGUUAAAUAGACUUGAGUGUAUCAAUACUGCUGGAUUCAUAGACAUAUAGAUUAGUUGCAUUUCAUUUCAUUGCAUUGCAUUAUGUUGUGUUACUUGGGGACAAGCAACGGUUUAAGUUUGGGGGUAUUUGAUAUGUGAAUUUUAUAUAUACUUAUCUGGUAUCUAUUACUUGAAUUAGUUGCUUAAACUCAUGUUUCUUAGUUAUUUUUCAUGCAUUUUGUGUUCAUGUUGUAGGUUAUAUGUUUGGGAGCGGUGUGAGCGACUAUUAGUAAGGAAAAGCAAGGAAAUCGCAAAGAAUUAGUAGAAAAACGCAAAGAAAAGCAAUCCGAAUAUCCUUUGUGCUUUCAUGUUCAUUCCAUGUUCUUGGCUUGGAACUUGGCUUACAUUGUAGAGCGUCUUCGUAGCUUUUCGGAACAUCUUGAAUCAUUCCAAUCGGAGUUCGGAUGCAAGAGUUAUGACAUUUGUACCAACGGACGUUGAAUUUCACUGUUUUGGGUGGUCAUUUGCAUAACAUUCACUUCCAGUCCAAUUUCGACCUUCAUCCGUUCGUUAUUUCUAAAAACUCAAAGAAUAAAAGUUGUAGAGCUCGUCGAUAUGUUCGAUUUGAUAGGUGGCAGGCCUCGUAACUCUUCCCAGAUCAAAAGUUAUGGCCAUUCUACCAGAGAACACUGCAGCAGAAAAAUAAUUAGCAGCUUGCACCCAAGCCGGGGCUUGCUCUUUUGUGCCUUAUACCCAAGCCGGGGCUUGGGGUCCAGAGUGCGAAAUCAGUAGCAUAGCAAGCCGGGACUUGCUAUUUACAAGGCAAAUAGCAAGCUGGGGCUUGGGUAUGCGUAGAAAGAGUAGAUUUUGUCCGAAUUUGAGUCCAAUAAGGAUUUAUUCGAGUUGUUUGAUUCAAGGACUUUCAAGAAGACUUAAAGACAUAUAAAGAGGCUUAUAAAAGGAGGAGAUUUACAAGGAUUAGAGGAAGUUAGAGGAAGAAUUCCAUUAUAUUAGAUUAGAGUAGAUUGGGAAAAAACCCUAGUUAUUAUGAAAUUUGGAGAUUGAAGCAACUUGGAGACCAUUGAAGAUUCAAAGUAGGAGCAAGGAGAGAGCAUCAAAUCUACAGACAAUAGAUUAUAUCUUCUCAUCUUCUUCUAUCUUUGUCGUUUAAUGUGUAUUCAAUUGUGGAUUCUUAGUUUUAAUUCAAUAAUCAUGAACUAAUUCUUUGUUUGAGGUUACAAUGGAUCUUAUUUUGUAGUUUACUUUGAUAUGCUUCUUUGUUAGUCUUAUUAGUUAUAUUUGGAUUGUCUAUUAUGAUUUGGACUUAAUUGCUUAAUUGCCUAGCUAACAAUUACCGUGAUAAUCUAUAUGAACUCGAGAGAUGAAGUAUAGAUUUAGAUCUGAUUAUGAUAGCAUGUGUUCAUGAUUUUGUGAAUAGCUUAAUCUUGAUUAAUGUUAAGGUAGAGAUAUGCUUGACAUCGCAUGUAAUCGAAUAGAGAACUUAUUCUUAAACCUUCUUCAAUUGUAAUUCACAUGGAGAUAUAGUGGGUUAGUUGAUUAAGGUGUUUAACGGAUUUCUAUCUUAAUUGUGGAUUGACGUUAAUACGGUAUUAGUGCAUCGAGAGGUGGUUAAUACUACAUUCGUGUUCUUGAUUAACAAUCCAGUAUAGAUAACUUGGCUUAACAGGAAGUGUGUUAACUUAAAUAAAACAAUAAGUGAAAUUGUAAUCUCAAGUCUUCAAUAUCUUGUUUCAUUCUAGGGAUAGUUAGUAAUAGUUUAUUUAACUAUUUUAAAUUAAAUUAUUAAAUCAUUCGUUUAAAUAAGAUUAAAUUGGUUAUAUGUUAGUACUUGGUAAUUCUUGUUAACUAAUUCUCUGUGGGAACGAUACUCAACUUAUCACUUUAUUACUUGUUGACCACGUAUACUUGCGUGUUUUGCGUAACUAGAUUUUACCCAACAGAAUACUGAACAAAAAUAAUAUCCCUUACCUUAGAAGAAGACUGGAUACUGGAAUAGUGAAGUAGUUAAAUACUCUUCUUCUUUCUCUCUAUAGCUUCUCUCUCUAUAAUUGCUCUUGUGAGUCUUAGUGAAUUAGUGAGAAUGAAAGAAAAAUGAACUUCUAUUUAUAAGAAAUUAUAGUUUUGAUAAUUGCACGUUUUGAGACUCAAAAUACUACAGUAUAAUACCUUCAUCUUUUUCUUCAUUUUUAAUCUAGUCCUGCAAGUAUUAUCAAACUUUCACCACCUCCCUUAAUAGUACAUGUAUGUGAAUCAAUAGUACAUUCAUGUGAACAAAUAGUUAGAAGCAUGUGAAUUAAUAGCAAUUAAUUGCUUAUUUAUCCGAUUAAUUAUCCGAUUGGUCAAUAUAACAUCCAGAAAUCAAUUAUUAUCGAAAUAAAUAUCAAUUUCCAUUAACACUAAUAAUCCCAACAAAAUGGAAAUAUCAAUUUCAUCUUUAAUCAACACAAUUCAUCAUUAAUAUUAUAACUCACAAUAUUUAACAACCAGAUCAUUCCCAAGAAAGAGGGGACUUUCCGAUAAAGAUUUCUCCCUAUUGGCGCGCAAUUAGGUGAUCAAACCUCUACUCGACAAAACUUUCUAGACAUCGUCAAUAUUGCAAAUAAUAAUAUGAAUAACUUUGUCGUCUCAAUUAUUGAUUUAAUAAUAAUAAAUAUUAUGCAGAUGAUACUGUGACAAUAAUUGAAUCAAUAAUAUAAGAGAUAUUAUGCAGCAAUUACUGUAGAAAUAAUUCAGUAUAACUAAGUGACUUCUCAUGUAAGCAUCAAUAAUCAAUACCGUGUGCUACUAUGCAACCACGCGUAUUAUUAUACUUUUACUACCGAGUAGUUCAACAGUUUAACGGUAAAACUUUCACCGUUAUUUUUAUAAAAAGAUAUUUCUGUCGUUUUCUAACUACGACAAUACUUUCGUUGUGGGGUCCACCAAUGAUUAUGCCGUCGUACGAAUAUUCCCUGUUAAAACGAAUAUUCCCCGACCAAUCGAAUAUUUUAUAACAAUUUGCUUACUUUGAAAAAUUUAUAAAUAUUACCCACAACUAUAACAUUAUAUCAAAUCCACACCAUAAUAUUCAAAAAUAUAUUUCGAGAAAAAUUAAGCUUUAUUCAUAAAAGUUGGGGUCUUACAAUAUGUAUCUAACUAUAUUGAUCGUUUAUGAUUAUAUUUUGUAUUUACAUCGUACGACUUUUAUCUAUAAGUCAUUACGUUGUUUAAAUAUUUGAUGGUUGAUAUAGCAAAAGCUAUUAUUGUUAUUGAUAUGAGUUCGUGAAGAAUUAUUUGUUUUUCUUUAGUUUAUAACAGGUACAAUUAUGUAUAUGUAAAUGAACAGGGGUAUUUUGCAUUUUUUUCAAUUUAUUUUUAAAAAAAACAUCAUUGGCAACGGGGUAGGGUCAUUGGCGAUGGCCUUGCCGCCGAUAUUGACUGUUUUAUUAUUUUUCUGAAAUAAUUAUUACUGACGGUCUUUCCAUUGCCAAUGUCGUCGCUAAUGACCCAUUACCGACGUACAGGCGUCGACAAUGCCUCCCGUCGGUAAUGACACACUUGCCGACGGCGAGCGACGGGAACCAAGGGCGACGACCUAUACGACGAUGUGAAUGACGACAGACAAUGCCAAUGACCUCAUUGCCGACGUCAAGAGAGUCAUUGGCGACGGCAUUGUCCGUCGGCAAUGACCUUUUUUUUGUAGUGAUAGGGAUAUCACAAAAUGAAUUGAAUUGAAUAUUUUUAUUUGAUCACUUGAAAAAGGGCUUAUAAAUACCUUGAAUUUCUGUUAACAACUCAAGUGAAUUUAAUAAUUGGAUAAAUUAGGUAAGUGAUUUAUAUUGCAUAAUUGAGGAUAUUGUAGUCUUAAGCCUUUAUCAUAUGAAUCAACUCUCUAUGUUAAAAUUAGUUUAAUUAGUUUAAUUCAGUUUUUAAUUAAUAAUCACAAAUUUUGGUUAUUUAAAUAAAAUUGAAUUAAUAUAAAACUAGUAAUUGGGAUUUGUUAAAUAGAGAUUCCUGUGGGUUCGACACUCUAUCUUAUCACUUUAUUACUUGUUGACCGUAUAUACUUACAAGCAUUUAUUAAUUGUCAAAUCGAGCAACAAGUUUUUGGCACAGCUGCCAAGGAAUCUGUAUUUAAUAUUUAAUUUCAUAUUAGUUAUAAUCAAUUCGAUCUUAAUUUAAAUAUUUUAUUUUAUUUGUUUCUUUCUUCUUGCAAGUUUUUCCAUCCGUGUAUGCACACUAGGUCAAAGGGUAAGGGGGAAAUUUUUCCAUAUGCAAACGAUAUUGAAAAAAAGUUCCGAAAACUAAGGUUAACUAGUGAGGAAGUACAUAUGGAAGAAGAACUGGCAUAGGAAACUAUAAAUCCAGUAAACAUGGUUGUAGAUGAGCAGAAAUCAUUGUGAGAUUAUGCCACACCAUUGGUUACAAAUAUCCAUUCUAGUAUUCAGAGGUCUGCUAUUAAUGCAAACAGUUUCGAGAUCAAACCAGGUACCAUUUAGAUGCUACAAAAUUUAGUGCAGUUUGGGGGUGGUCUGAAUGAUGAUCCAAAUGAGCACAUUGUCAGCUUUCUGAAAAUCUGCGAUAUGUUCAAAUUUUAUGGGAUUACCGAUGAAGCAGUUAGGUUUAGACUUUUUCAAUUUACACUUCGCGAUAAGGCAAAAAGUUGGUUGCACUCUUUCCUGUCGGGAUCAAUUACUACCAGGAAUGAUUUAUUUCAAAAGUUUCUUGCUAAGUUCUUCCUAUCAGCGAAACCGACAAAAAUGAGGAAUGACAUUACCUCAUUCAAUCAUCUUGAUUCAGAAACAUUUUAUGAGGUGUGUGAAAUAUUUAAAGAUCUGCUUCGUAAGUGUGCAAAUCAUAGGAUCCCGAAAUGGUUGUAGGUACAAAUGUUCUAUAAUGGAUUAUAUGGGCCCACGAGAACUAGUAUUGAUGCAGCGACUGGAGGUACUAUAAUGGGAAAAAAAAUUCGAGGAUGCUUACCACUUAUUAGAGACUAUGGCUGCGAACAACUACUAGUGACCUACAGCAAGAGGAAAUGCACCGAAAGUAACAGGAAAAUUAGAAGUAGAUGCAGUGAUAACCUUAUCUGUAAAGUAAGCUGCACUAACUAAAAAGAUUGAAACAUGGAGACCACAAGCUACUCCACAGGUGGUGAUGAUAUGCGAACUUUGCGCCAGAAAUCAAGCUACGAAUCAGUGUGCCAUCAAUGCAGAGUCAAUACAAUUUUUAGAGAGUUAAAUAGACCAUCACAACCAUAUUAGAUUGGGUGAAUCCAAGAUCGUAAAAUCCACCCAGUUUUCAAAAUCAAGUUCCGCAAUAGGCUGAAAGGAAACUGAACUUAGAAGAGGCAUUGACAAAAUUCAUUGUAACUACUGAUAAGAGAAUGAAUGAUUAGGAUAAACUGUUAAGUUAGGUAGAUUUGAAUAUAAAAAUCCAAGCGGUGUCAAUUAAAAACUUGGAGAAUCAAAUGGGUUAGUUAGCUCAUGCUCUGGAUAGUCAUCCAUAAGGAGCACUACCGAGCGACACUGAGAUUAAUCUAGGAAGAGAUGGAAAGGAACAAUAUAAAGUUGUGACUCUAAGAAGCGGAAAAUAGCUACCUGAUAUAGUUAAAGGGAAUUCAAAGCCAAAAAUAGUAGUUGUGGAAGAAGAGGAAAUCAAGGAGAAAGAUGAUGCAGAGAAUACUCAGAAGUUAGAAGAUACAGGUUUGGAGGAUAAGUCAAAUAAUAACAAUCAAGACAGUAUAGUGCCUCUCGUGUCGUUUCCUCAGAGAUUUUAGAAAUCAAAAUUAGAUAAGCAAUUUGCCAUAUUUUUAGAUGUUUUCAAGAAGCUUCACAUCAAUAUACCCUUCACAAAAGCUUUGGAACAAAUGCUUAGUUAUGCCAAAUUUAUGAAGGAAGUCUUGUCAAAAAAGAAAAGAUUGGGUGAAUUCGAGAGAGUGACAUUAGCCAAAGAAUGCAGUGCUAUCCUACAGAAUAAGUUACCGUCGAAAUUAAAAAAUCCAGGGAGUUUUACUAUUCCAUAUAUGAUCGGUAAUCAAUUUUUAGGAAGGGCAUUGUGUGAUUUAAGGGCCAAUAUCAAUUUAAUAUCGCUAUUAGUUUACACUCAGCUAGGGUUAAAGGCACCAACAUCGACAAAUAUUAGCUUACAGUUAGCAGACAGGUUAGUAACGUAUCCGAGGGAUAUUGUGGAAGACAUUCUAGUUAAAGUCAAUAAGUUCAUCUUUCCGGCUGACUUCAUCAUACUAGAUUAUGAGGAAGAUAAGGAAAUUCAAAUCAUACUUGGUCAUCCGUUCUUAGCGACAAGGAGAACUCUGAUAGACGCGCAGAGAGGUGAAUUAUUAAUGAGAGUUCAAGAUCAGUAAGUCACCUUUAAUGUUUUCAAAUCAAUGAAGUUCCCAAAAGAAAGUGAAGAGUGAUUACAGAUAGACAUAUUUGAUGAAGUAGUGAAUGAGAGGAUCAAUGAAAGUUACUUAGAGGAUCCAUUAGAAGCUGCCCUGAUUGGUAUAGAUGCAUUGGAUGAGUUGGAGGGUAUGAAUUAUGUCAAGGUGUUAGACGCAUUACCAAUAUCUCAAAAAUUCAAAAACAUUUUGAUAUUCUUGACUGGCCCGAAGGAAGAGACAAGAAGUCCAAAACAUCAUUAGAAGAGCCACCGGUGCUAGAGCUAAAACAUCUUCCUUCUCAUUUAAGGUAUGCCUACUUGGAAAAUUCUGACACUAUCAGUUAUCGUUUCUGCCCACUUGAAUGAAUCUUAAGAAGAAAACUGUUAAGGGUUUUACGUGAGUAUAAAAUAACAAUUGGGUGGACCAUUAAAGAUAUUAGAGGGAUCAGUCCAUCAUUUUGUAUUCAUAAAAUUCUACUUGAGGAAGGAGCAAAGCCGAGCAUUAAGUAACAAUGAAGACUAAAUUUGAUUAUGAAGGAAGUAGUAAAGAAAGAAAUUAUAAAGUGGUUAGACGCUGGUAUUACCUAUCCAAUUUUCGAAAGUUCUUGGGUAAGUCACGUGCAAUGCGUGCCGAAAAAAGGGGGAAUGACUAUGGUUGAAAACAAGAAUAACGAGCUCAUUCCUACUAGAACAAUUAUAGGGUGGAGAGUGUGCAUGUAUUUCUGCAAGUUGAAUAAGGCUAUUCUCAAGGAUCAUUUUUCCUUGUCAUUCAUUGAUCAAAUGUCGGAUAGGUUGUCGGGUCAUUAGUUCUACUACCUUCUUGAUGGCUAUUCGGGACAUAACUAGAUUGCAAUAGCACUUGAGGACCAAGAGAAAAUGACAUUCACCUACCCUUAUGGAACUUUUACAUUCCAAAGGAUGUCUUUUGGUCUUUGCAAGUUGCAACGCACCGACUACUUUUCAGUGAUGUAUGAUGGCUAUUUUCUCGGAUAUGGUAUAGCAGAAUUUGGAUGUCUUCGUGGAUGAUUUCUUUGUUUUUAGGGACAUCUUUGACUUAUGCCUCAAUAAUCUAAUCCUAGUUUUGAAACGCUAUGUGGAGACUAAUAUGGUGCUCAAUUAGGAGAAGUGCCACUUCAUGGUGCAAUAAGGAAUAAUUUUGGGUCACAAGGUUUCUGCAGCAGGCUUAGAGGUAGAUAAAGUAAAGAUAAAAACUAUUGAAAAGCUACCUCCGCCAACAUCUGUGAAGGGAAUAAGAAUUUUUCUCGGAUAUGCGGGUUUUUUCCAACGCUUCAUCAAUGAUUUUUCUAAAAUUUCAAAACCCUUAUGUUCGCUACUCGAAAAAGAUGUGCUGUUUAAAAUGGAUCAGUCGUGCGUUGGUGCCUUCAAAGUGCUGAAAAAGAAGUUAGUCACAUCUCCAGUUAUAGUUGCUCCCGAUUGGACCUUGCCAUUUGAGUUGAUAUGUGAUGCGAGUGAUUAUGCAGUUAAUGCAGUGUUGGGGAACGGAGAGAUAAGAUCUUCCAUACCAUUUACUACUCAAGCAAGACUUUAGCAGACGCACAACUUAAUUACACCACAAGGGAAAAGGAAUUACUUACAGUAGUGUUCGCAUUCAAUAAGUUUCGAGCAUACUUGAUUGGGACUAAGGUAAUAGUAUACACAGAUCAUUUAACCAUAAAUUAAGUACUUGAUUGUAAAGAAGGAUGCAAAGCCAAGAUUAAUUCGAUGGCUCCUUCUCUUGUAAGAAUUUGACCUUGAAAUCCAUGACAGGAAAGGCAAGAAAAAUUAGGUAGCUAAUUAUUUUUCAAGGUUGGAAAAUUUGGAAACUCAGAAAAAGGAUGAAGUAGUGAUCAACGAGUCUUUUUCAGAUGAGGAACUAUUCUGAAUUACGACUAAAGUUCCAUGGUACGCAGAUUAUGUAAAAUAUUUAGUAAGCAAUGUAUUCCCUCCAGAUUUGAACUCUCAACAACGAAAAAAGUUCAUCUACGAUGUCAAUCAGUAUUUUUGGAAGUUCAUCUACGAUGUCAAUCAGUAUUUUUGGGAUGAACCAUUUCUGUUCAAAACUUAUGCGGAUCAGAUGAUAAGACGGUGUAUGCCAUGUGAAGAGAUGUAUAGCAUUUUGAGUCAUUGCAACUCAUCGGAGUAUUAGGGUUUUUCUGGCCUACAUUGUUCAAAGAUGCCCACUUCUUUGCUCUAAAGUGUGACUGAUGCCAAAGGGUUGACAAUAUUUCGAAAUGUCAUGCAUGAGAUGCCUCUCAAUACCAUUAUCAUAGUGGAACUCUUUGAUGUAUGGGGCAUUGAGUUUAUGGGGCCAUUUUCGUCGUCAUUCAACAACCAGUACAUACUAUUGGCAGUGGACUAUGCAUCAAAAUGGGUUGAAGCAACUGCAUUACCCACAACGACGACAUAGUAGUGUUGUGCAUCUUAUAAAAAAAUAUCUUCACCCGAUUUGGUACACCAAGGACCAUAAUCAGUGAUAAGAGCACCCAUUUUUGUAACAAGCAAUUCACUAAACUGCUCACCAAGUAUGGGGUUAAACACAAGGUUGCUACGGCCUAUCAUCCGCAGACAAGUGGCCAAGCAGAGGUUUCAAACCGAGAGGUCAAACAGAUCUUGGAAAAAGUUGUGAAUCCAUCUCGUAAGGAUUGGGCAAUGAGAUUAGACGAUGCUUUAUGGGUGUAUUGAAUGACUUACAAGAAUCCAAUCAGAAUGUCACCAUACAAAAUGGUUUGUGGAAAGGCUUGUAAUUUGCCAGUAAAGCUUAAACAUAAUGCGUAUUGGGCCAUUCGAAAGUUGAACUUUGAUUUAAAAGCAUUAGACGAGAAAAUAUUACUGCAAUUGAACGUAAUGGAAGAAUUCUGACAUCAAGCGUACGAGAAUGCUAAACUUUAUAAAGAAAAUGUUAAGAAGUGACAUGACAAGUGAAUCCUUGACUAAAAAUUUGAACCAGGACAAACCAUAUUAAUAUUCAAUUCUAGGUUGCGAUUGUUCCCUGGAAAGCUAAAAUCGAGGUUGUCAAGACUGUUUGUGAUUACAUUUGUAGCUCCACAUGGAGCCGUUGAGGUCGAGGAACCUAAUUCCAAGUGUACAUUCAAGGUUAACGGUCAAAGAUUAAAGCAUUACUGGGGUGGUGACAUCGAUUGAUCUAACUGAUAGAGCUGAUACUUGAGUGUAACAGGAAAGUCGAGCUGACGACUAUAAACUAAGCGCUAUUAAGAGGCAACCCAAUUUUUAUAUUUCAUUCAUUUAAUUUCUAUUUAAUUUAAUUCAUAUGAUAAUUUUUUUAGUUUAGUUCAAUUAGUACGCUUAAUUAUAUUUUCUUCGUAGACUAAUCUUUUUUUUAAUUGCUAUUUUAGGUCUAAAGAUGUUUGAAAAACAAAGGUUAGUCUACUAACAAAAAAAAACUGUUGGAAGUCCCGACGUCCAAAAUUAGUGCAACAGGAAGCCUCAACGUCAAGGACCCGACUCAAGCUCUGUUGCUGAAAGCCCUGGCGUCCAAAGCUAGUUUAAAUCGGAAGCCACGGCUUCCAACAACAAUUUUUUUUUAAAAAAAACUCAGCCUUACGGUUCAGGUGCUUUCUAUUCUAGCUCUCCUAUUUCUUUUCGAAUUCUAAGUAUCUCCUUCCUUCUUCAUCCAACCGAACCCUAGCCCCUUCACUAUUCAUCUACUCCUUCCCAAAUCGAAAAUAAAGCAUAAUCUAAGUGUAAGGAUUGAACAAGGUAGUAAUAACUCUCUCUCUCACUUUGAUUUCUCUCUCUAACCAAGGUUGCUCGUCAUCAGAACUGUCAAAGCAUUACAAUGAGAAGAAGUUUAUAAGUGUGGAGGCUUUUGAUCAAUAUACCAAACUUGCCAACAAGACAAUCAUCCCGGAGUGAGGACUGCGACCCGAUGAAACCCAAGAUGGCGAAAUUGCUAUUAUGAUUAUCAAAAGAGAUUGGUUCACUUUCACUGAACAUCCAGAAGCAUCGGUGGUUCUAAUAGUUAAAGAAUUUUAUUCUAACGCGAAGGACCACCACUUUUAUGACGUGUAAGUGAGAGGGAAAACCGUCUCUUUCCAUAGCGACACCAUUAAUAAUUACUACCAACUUCCAAGUGUGGAAGAUGAUGAAUAUGUUGCAUAUGUGCGAACAGUCCCAUACUAUGAGUGAGUUGAUUGUUCAGAAAUUAUGCCAGCCGGAUACAACAUGGAAGGUAAAAGAUAAAGCAGCCAUGAAAUUAUCACUUUCUACCUUAAGUUGUUAUGGAAAAGCAUGGUUCUCUUUUAUCUGUGCCAAACUAAUGCCUUCCACACAUGUAAGUGACGUGACAAAGGAGAGGGCUUCUUUACUCUACUAUUUGGUGCAAGGUAUAACCAUUAAUGUGAGAGAGGUGAUUGAGAAAUCUAUCUUUCUAUUGCGCAAGGAACAAAAGGUGGAUUACCACACCCAUCUUUGAUUUGUGGGUUAUGUUUGUAGGUGGGAGUUAAGUGGAAAAGUGAUGAACCGUUAUUGCCUCCAAUAGACCAUUCUUUGCCUCCGAUAGACCAUUCUUUGAUUUUCAGAUAUAAGGUUUGAGAUGGGGGUGAGAAUGUGACGCCCCCAAAUUCGGGUACUUGAAACCCUUAUUCAGUGCUUCACGAUAUCAAACAUUCAACAUAAAAUAAACUUAAACUUAGUAAAGUUAUUACAUCAAAGUGCUACUAAUCCCAGGUAUGUAGACCUUUAAAUGUUCAUUACAUGAUAGUUUAAUAUUUACAAACACGUAAACUAUCUAUUACAUCCAAUCCCAGCUAAUCUGUUACUUUUUCUUUCCCUUUGUCUUUUCCAGACCCUUCUACCCGAGUCUGCUCAGCUGAAAAUAUUUAUAAUAAAACAAGUAUGAGCAUUUAAUUGCCCAGUAAGUAAUAGCAUUCUUUAAGGCUCAACAAGAAAUAAAUAUUUUCUUUGAAGCAUGCUUUGACAGUGAAUCAAAACUGUAAAGCAAUAAAUCUUGAAUCAUUCACAUUUCUGGAUUAUCAUAUCAAUAUUGAAUAACUGAGAGGUCUUAAGACCAUGAACAUAUUUUUCUUUUUUUGAAAAGGUUCAAUCAGAAAUUUUAUCAGAUGAACCGUCUUAACUUACGAGCACGUAGGGUGAUCAGCCCUUUAUGCCCAGUAUUGAUCGAUACUAUCUUUUUCAGAACAAUUUUCAUGUUCUACAUCACCACUCCCAGAGUGCAAUAAAAAUAUCCCAUUUAAGGGUAUGUUCAUUCUCAGUUUUAGAUUCCAACUACAACAAUAUAGCUGGACAGCUUAAAUUAUGGCACAAUAAUAUUUCAAGACUUAAUAUAAAGAAAUUGAAAUAUUUUACAUCUGUGUCUGGCCAGAAGGAAUGGCUCAGAUUUCUAUACAACCUGCUCAUGCAUAUGAUAAUAUCUUACCCAAUCUUUUGAAGCUGAUUGGAAUAAAAAGAUUAUUCAAUCUUAUAAUAUUCAUAAAUAAAGAAAGACAGUUCAGAAUUUAGAGAACCUGUCCACAUAUGAAUAAUCUUAAAAUACUUGCUCAAUAAAGAGUAAGAUUUAGAUACUUGCCUCAUUUGUAGACUAUUGGUACAAUUUCAGUUUAACUUGUGUGUUCUCACAGAUCCUACACAAUUAUUUGUAUUCACAAACAUAUUAGCCAAUUAGCCAAGUCAUACAACUUGCAUUAUUAUUCAUAUAUCACACAGUCACAGUGAUCAUGUUUUUAGUUCAUGUUCUAUAUUUGAGAUAUUUCUAUACAUUUUUCAAAUAUUUCAUCCAUGUUCUUACAACAACCAUUUCUUUCUUUUAUAGGGUCUAACAUAAUUUCUGUUCAUGAACUUUUCAUGAUUUUAGUUCAUACUCCUUUUACUUCUUUUCUUUGCCAUAAGUAUACUUUGCAAUCUUCUUUAUAACUUAGGUAUUCAAGGUGAAUACAUAAGGUAUUUCAUGUAUUAAGUAUGAUUGUAUAUCAACACAACCCUCUCUGGCCUUAACAGUUUCAACAGCCCACUAAUAUGGCCUUGCUUGGGAUUCAUUGCUUUAAUUCCCUACACCUUUAAUCCCCUUGCAUUAAGCUUUGGAUAACAUGCAGAUGGUAUAUUCAAUUAAUACCAUAACACAUUAGCUAGGCAACUUACAGAAGUUUAGAAGUACUAACUAAGAGCUAAAAAAACUUCUAAACUUAAUCACUACCAUAACAGUUUUUUUUUGGUUGCUAGCUAGGACAACUGCUGCUACUUAAGAGCAGCUGCCCUUACCUUUCAAUCUUAGCUUUGUUAAUUAUUCUUUUGUUUUCCCCUAUUUGACCAAGUGUGUAGUUUCCUUUAAUGCACUAACAGCUCCUUAUCAUUCCUUCAUACUAACAGCCAUUUAUGCUUGGCUUUGUGAGAUCUAUUCAAUUUAAUGUGGCUUUGGUUGGGCUCAGUUUCAACUGAGUCUAACAAUCUUUACACUACAUUGGUAGUUAGCUAAGGCUUUCUGCCAUUGCUAACUAACAGCAGCUAUGCCCCUUCUUUGUUCAAUAUUUAAUGUUAAGAUAGCUUACAAGAUGUACUAACAUAUAAGUUAUACAUACCCACAACAUUAGUAGGUAUAAGGUAAACCAACAGGCAUUUAGUUGCUACAACAGUUUCUUUGCUGCUGCUCAUAGGUAGCAACAAAGUUUUCUCCUCCUUCACUUACAUUCUAAAUCUGCCAACACACUAUAAAGUCUAUACAUAUUUGCAACAUAAACUUAAACUAUACUGGAUGAUUAGCUUUUUAAAAUUACAACCUUCAAUCAACAUGAUUACCCAAACUGCUUUAGCAGUCAUUUACUAUCACCUGUUACUCGACAUUGAUGGCUAUUGCCAUCGGAUACUUCAUUCUUCUACUGCUAUAGAAUAACAUCCCUAACCUCUUGCUUUAGGUAACAUAUUUUCUUCAUGUAAUCAAAAUUAGUCUACACAAACUGUUGUAACAGUUAUACGUUGCUACCUAUUGCUGCCACUUCUUUUCUUUGAUCUAUGCUUUGCUACACCUUUAUUUUCACAUUCUUUGUUUGGUUGAGUUGAAUUUUGAAGCUACCAUAGAUUAGACAUUCACUUAAUAUUGAGAUAUAUUAGUUGGGCAAGUUUGGUUAGUUCAAAUGGGUUGACCGAGAGCCAAGGAAGACCCCAGUUAUUGCCUAACAUGUGACUGCUGUUGCCCCACUGCUGCUGCUGCUGAGCAGCAGCCCUGCUCCCUUUCUUUCCCAACUCUAGAAUAUUUUUCCCCAGAUUGCUAUGGUAGCAGCUCGCAACUGCUAGUUGUGUCAAUCACUGUUGUCAAGAACAGCAGCCCUAUAUCCCCAUUCAUCCAACUGCUGCUGUCGAGGCAGUAGCCUUGCACUUCACCACGCAAGAUUCAUUCCUUAUGGUAGCUCACAAAUUAUAGCAACAUGUAACUUAUAUAAACCCAAGACAUUAGCCUAUGUGAGUUAAACCAAAAGAAGUUUCUAAUUUAACAACUGAGAGCUUUAAAAGAGCCUCAGCCCAACGCCUCCCACUGCCACUGCUGCUGCUACAGGCAGCAGCUCUGUGGCUAACAUAGCUAGUUUGCUAAUUUCACGUUUCUAAUCUAUAUGCUUGUUUAUAACCAUUUUUAAAUAUGUAACACAGAACAUAUGGAAGUAUUUUAUGCAUAUAAAACCCCUCCAUUUCAGCCUUAGUAUGCUGCCAAAUCAGUACCCAAAGUUGUCUCAAUAUGAUAAAAUCUCAACUAUUAACUUUAGCCUAAAAUGUGCACAGCGUUUAAGUUUAACAUGCUAACAAACUUUAAUUAACAUCACAUACGAUAACUAGAUUAGGCCCAUGCUUUACCUUGUUCUAAUAUUCAAUUUUUAACCAAAAAGUUCUUUUAGAACUUUUAUCGAACACUUGGUAGGCAUAGUUUCAGGCUAUCAGUUUCACAACCACUUGUUUAUGUCACCAACCCAUUUCAUUCUCCUUAUAUCUCCUCAGCCCAACCUAAACCCCUUUGUUCUAACUCAGCCCACAGCAGUCAAAUACACAGUAAAGUUCAUAUCUAAUCAACGAAUUAGUAGCUAGUUAGUUCAUGCUACCAUUAUACAAUCACAUUAGACUCAAAUUGAUGCAAUAUAAACUGAACAUAGACUUCAAACAUAGCACAGUUGCUUAGAACAUUAGUUAGCUAGUAAGAAUACCUUUUGUUUUGAUUUCCUUCUUUAGUCCUUAAUCUCCAAUGUCCUCUACUAUAAUUGUGUUCUCCUUUAAUUUACUCAAACGUUUGCCCCAGCACAAUCAUGAACUUCAUUCAUCCAGGCUCUAGCUAAGUGAGGAAAUCAGGAUUUUCGUAUGAGAGAGUUUGACGGGUGAACAGGGAGAUAAGAAGAGUAACCUUGCCUUAUAUAAACUCAAUCCUUACUCCUCACGAAUUGUACCCGCUCUGCCAUUAAUAGGCAUGUUGAGUUUGCAAAGCUAUCCUAACACAUUCAUGCCAGCUCCUGCUAAUACCACUUGAAGGUUACGCCUUCAAUUACACUUCCCAGCUCAUGCUAAUCCUUUUUAAUUGCUAAGUUUUAAUCUAAAGCUGUGUUUGGUUAAAAUAACCAAUUAUCUUCCUUUCCGUACAUAUCACAUAGCAAAAACUACAUUUUAACUAUACUGAAU